This 446-nucleotide ribosomal RNA is filed under the name uncultured bacterium. RNAcentral describes it as "bacterial SSU rRNA". It matches the Rfam family "Bacterial small subunit ribosomal RNA", at positions 330 to 792 of the family's 1533-position model. The record is from RNAcentral.
GCCAGACUCCUACGGGAGGCAGCAGUGGGGGAUAUUGCACAAUGGGGGGAACCCUGAUGCAGCGACGCCGCGUGGGUGAAGAAGUAUUUCGGUAUGUAAAGCCCUAUCGGCAGGGAAGAAAUUGGACGGUACCUGACUAAGAAGCCCCGGCUAACUACGUGCCAGCAGCCGCGGUAAUACGUAGGGGGCAGGCGUUAUCCGGAUUCACUGGGUGUAAAGGGAGCGUAGACGGCCAUGCAAGCCUGGAGUGAAAGCCCGGGGCCCAACCCCGGGACUGCUCUGGGAACUGUGCGGCUGGAGUGCGGGAGGGGCAGGCGGAAUUCCUGGUGUAGCGGUGAAAUGCGUAGAUAUUAGGAGGAACACCAGUGGCGAAGGCGGCUUACUGGACUGUAACUGACGUUGAGGCUCGAAAGCGUGGGGAGCAAACAGGAUUAGAUACCCCCGUA